CUAAGAAUAUUCCGCAAUGGACGAAAGUCUGACGGAGCGACGCCGCGUGGAUGAUGAAGGCCGAAAGGUUGUAAAAUCCUUUUGUUGGGGAAGAAUAAGCGUGGGAGGGAAUGCCCGCGUGAUGACAUGAACCGACGAAUAAGCCCCGGCUAACUACGUGCCAGCAGCCGCGGUAACACGUAGGGGGCAAGCGUUGUUCGGAAUUACUGGGCGUAAAGGGCAUGUAGGCGGCCUUGUAAGCCUGGCGUGAAAGUCACCGGCUCAACCGGUGGAUUGCGUCGGGAACUGCGAGGCUCGAGUCACGGAGGGGGAGUUAGAAUUCCCGGUGUAGGGGUGAAAUCUGUAGAGAUCGGGAAGAAUACCAGUGGCGAAGGCGAACUCCUGGCCGAUGACUGACGCUGAGGUGCGAAAGUGUGGGGAUCAAACAGG
This 429-nucleotide ribosomal RNA is filed under the name uncultured Treponema sp. RNAcentral's name for it is "bacterial SSU rRNA". It matches the Rfam family "Bacterial small subunit ribosomal RNA", at positions 355 to 776 of the family's 1533-position model. Lineage: Bacteria; Pseudomonadati; Spirochaetota; Spirochaetia; Treponematales; Treponemataceae. The record is from RNAcentral.